UUGGCAGGAGAAUGCCAUGUGAAGCACUUUGAAGAAAAUUUCAGAUUUUAGCAGCAAGGUGGCCUGGUGUAACACAGUUGUCCGUCUGAGUUCAAUUCUCAGUAUCAUGAGAAGCACUGCCACUGCCCACAAGGAGUCUGUAUCACAAGUUUACUACCAAUGCAAUCAGCUCACUUUUGCACAGGUUGCAUUUGGUUUAGAAGAUCUUACCUCAGCAUACAGGAAUAUCAGAAGUAUCAAACAUCCACAAUAUAGGAAAUUCUUGAUUUCGUCAAUGACAUCUGCCGACCACCUCUUCCUUUCUAGUCUGAGAAUUUCUUUGUUUGAUAAUAAGUUAAGAAUGUAGCAUUCUUAUUAAAGAGAGGUCAAUUGCUAAAUAAGGUUCUCUGUGAUAUACCUUUUACAUUACAAAUGAUAUUUAGUCUCGGGUAAUGGGUAUGUCCUAGGUAAAUUGGUAAAUCAAAUUUGUUGGUCCAAAAAAAUUCCUAGUCUUAUUAUAAAGGAAUUUUUUUACAAGUCUUCGACUGGAGGGCAGUGAAGAAGUAUAACUUUCUUGGUAAUGACUAAUGACCCAGUUUCUAUCCAUUCAUUCUUAAAAAAUGGUAAUACCACUAGCUGGCUGUGGUUUCGGACUUUCUCGACUUUGGAUAAGAAACAAGAAACUUGACACAUCACGUAACCGACCAAUGUGGUUGCUUGUUUCUAUCAAAGCCAACAGGCAUUUCUUCUUCAAGCGUGCCUGUACUGUGUGCAUGCUUCUUAUAUAAAUAUCGACCAUGCCUUACCUAGUUCCUAUCUUAAAAACAAUCCCAAGUUUCAGAACAAUAUCUCACUCUCUAAUUUCGGGAAGUACUUGAAGUUGAAGAUUUCUCUAUCUUUGAUCUAUACUUGUUGGAGAUUUCGAGUCAUGUCUGCGCUGGUGGAGAUGUGGAGUAAUGAGACCAAGGAGCAGAGCGAGAAGGAUCAAACCCUUUCGUCGAAUGCCUCGGCCUCAUCAAGCACUAAUGUUGGGGUUAAUCAAGCCAAAGGAAGGACUCGUUAGCUCCUGUUUUCGACAGAGUCUUGCGUGUCAACUCACUUUUGACACACUAUUCGUCUGAAGCCUCAGUUUCCAUACUUCUAGAGUGGUUUAAGGGCUAAACGAUGGGUAAUUGUGUCAAUUUAUUUCUUCAGCUUUUUGCUUAUUAUCUUUUUCUUUGCUUGACUUUCAAAUCAAUGACAAUGCUAGGGUUUGUAACAAUGAAAGUACAUGUGAUAAAUUUAAGACCCCAUAGGACGUCUCAGUACGUGUACGUGAUAUUGUCGAAUUAUUGACUUGAGAAAACCAUUCACUACU
Long non-coding RNA from Rosa rugosa (rugosa rose), 1336 nucleotides. RefSeq lists it as uncharacterized. The record is from RefSeq and is a predicted model, not a curated record. Lineage: Eukaryota; Viridiplantae; Streptophyta; Magnoliopsida; Rosales; Rosaceae. The transcript has 2 exons.